GAUGAACGCUGGCGGCGUGCCUAAUACAUGCCAGUCGAGCGAACGGACGAGAAGCUUGCUUCUCUGAUGUUAGCGGCGGACGGGUGAGUAACACGUGGAUAACCUACCUAUAAGACUGGGAUAACUUCGGGAAACCGUAGCUAAUACCGGAUAAUAUUUUGAACCGCAUGGUUCAAAAGUGAAAGACGGUCUUGCUGUCACUUAUAGAUGGAUCUGCGCUGCAUUAGCUAGUUGGUAAGGUAACGGCUUACCAAGGCAACGAUGCAUAGCCGACCUGAGAGGGUGAUCGGCCACACUGGAACUGAGACACGGUCCAGACUCCUACAGGAGGCAGCAGUAGGGAAUCUUCCGCAAUGGGCGAAAGCCUGACGGAGCAACGCCGCGUGAGUGAUGAAGGUCUUCGGAUCGUAAAACUCUGUUAUUAGGGAAGAACAUAUGUGUAAGUAACUGUGCACAUCUUGACGGUACCUAAUCAGAAAGCCACGGCUAACUACGUG
RNAcentral lists this ribosomal RNA (497 nucleotides) under uncultured bacterium. Its description in RNAcentral is "partial 16S ribosomal RNA". It matches the Rfam family "Bacterial small subunit ribosomal RNA", at positions 28 to 507 of the family's 1533-position model. The record is from RNAcentral.